This 7537-nucleotide long non-coding RNA is filed under the name Homo sapiens (human). Its description in RNAcentral is "HSALNT0095954". The record is from RNAcentral. Lineage: Eukaryota; Metazoa; Chordata; Mammalia; Primates; Hominidae.
UUCACGGAGAUAAGCUAGAACUUGUCCUGUUUCCACACUUAAAAGACAAAACUACUUGAAUAUUUCAAGAUUAUGACUUUCUCCUUGCUUAAGUGUGAAGUCUUGACAAUCUUCAAAGGACAUGGAUUUUCAAAUACAUGUCUCCAAUCAGACAGUUUCUCUAAAUAUGCCUUAAUUCUUUCAUUUUUAUGUUGAAGUGGCCCUCCCAUAAUUGAACAUGGAAAUGAAAUAGAAAGAACAAAAUCAUUCCUCCAUGUUCCCAGCUGCAGGGCUACUCACAAGAAGACCUCACACAUGGAGCAGGUGUUGCCAUGCACUUUCCCAUCUGGGCCCUGGAUAGGAUCGUUCUCUCUGGUGCAAGCAAGUUUUCCGUUCCUCACAAGCUUUCGAUAUUCACUGCAAAGCUCCUGCCGAGAUAGAAGAAAUCAAUAGGGGUCAGGGGAUAUCUUUCAUGAGGUUCCAGCACAAACACAACAAAAUGCAGCAGCCAAAUCACAAAAAAAAAAAGAAAAAAAAGUUGUGAGAAGAUGAGAUGUCUAAAAGUGACUUAAUAUGGAUCAAGUCAAGAAUAAUCCAGCUAAGUUUAAACUUCAAUCAAUGAUAAGAAGAAAAAGAAAAGAAGCCUUUCUGUGAGAAAGGCUAUUUCACAGUGUAAAGACAAAGAAUUGCAUGCUUCAUGAAAAGGAUUUUAUCUCUCUGCUGAGUGAUUCUCGGGACAGCAACCAAGUGCAUCAUCAUCAAGUCCACCUGGGGAUGAUGCUACUUACAACAGCUCAGCACACAUUGCACACUUAUUGCCAUGCGUCUUCCCAUCAGGACCAAGAACAGGAUCAUUUUCCCUUGUGCAUCCAAGUCUUCCAUCUCUAACAAAGGGCCGAAAAGCACUGCAUACAUCCUGAAGAACAGGGAAAAGAACUUGAAACUUACCAAGAUUGUAAUGCUGACAACACUGUUUUCAGAAAUUUUAUUGAACUCAGUCCCUCUGACAUUGCUAUGGGCCACUUAGAGCAGUACCAGCUGUGUAGAUGUAGCUCAGUAAGUACUCUAUAAUUCAUGUGGUUAAAUAUAAAACUUUUUUACUUGUUUAUUCAUUUAUUUAGUAAACAGAUAACCUACUAUGUGCCAGAACUCAGACAGAGCACAGUCCUUGCCAUCAACUUGCUCCCAAUCUCCUAGGUGAUAAAAAGAGACAUUUAAAAUUGCAUGAUGCUAAAUGACUUGGUGCAAGUCACCUCAGGUGCUCUGGAAGCUUAUAAAAAGGGCAUCAGACCUUGAAAAUUAGGAAAAUCAUUCACCUGGAAAAAGACAAGUGUGACAUGUAUGAGAUCCUUUCUUCCUUCCCCUUCCCCUACCAUCACAGGCUCACAAAACUGUAUCAUAGAAAAAAAAUCUAUUUAGUUCAAAUCUCAUUUUAGGUUAAGUAAUUUGUCCAAGGUCUCCAAACAGCAAGUGACACUGCUGGGGUUUUAACGCAGGCUAAGUGACUGAAGUGUUGUGCCCUUUCUACUACACAUGUAGUUUCCUUUUUAUUUCUUCUUCUUCUUUUUUUUUUUAUACAAAGCAGCAAUAGAUUGAAAGAUCUAACCACCAAAGUAAUCUGAUCCAGUUUCAGAGACUAUAAUUAGCUUUUUCAUAUUAGUGGGCAGUACUGGGUAUUCCAUUUCACAUAAAGCAAGAAUUAAUUCCUUCCAAGGCUCCCACCUAAGAAGGAAGAGGAGAGCACCUACUUACUAUUUGAAGUUAGCCUCCCAGUAUUUCCCAUCAGGCUGACAAUUGACCUCACCUGCUCUGGAUUACUGCUCUUACAUUCCCCUUCACUUUUUACACCAAUUUGGGACCCGGUUUUCCUAGAAUCAAAAGUUAGUAGACACAGCAGUUUAAUAUCACAGAACUUCCCACCAUUCAAACCUAACUGCUCUACAUUGCAUUGUCAUUCUCCUUUACUCCCGAAAACAGCUGCCACAUAGUAUUAUUUUAUUACUUUUUCUAAUAAAAGUCACUGUUUAUAACUUCAAGUCAAAGAAAUGUAGUUAACAUGGAAGAGAUGGUAAAGAUUCAGACUUGUAAAUGUUAUUUAUAGAAAUCUUUUUUUAACCUUUGUUUAGAGGAGGGAUCCACAUCAGAAGAUGGGGAAAAGUAAAGCUUGUAACUGGAUAAUAGAUAACACUCAGCACCCAAGGAACUUUGUUGUUUUAAAUAAACAAAGUCAAAUUUGUAUUAUCUAACAUCCCACUAUACUACUCUUUAUUUGGGUUAUGAAGACUAGUAUUUUAUUUUUCAUAGAAAGUACAUAAAGUCUUGAUAAUUAAUUUUGUUCAGUCUCGUAGACCUUUAAAGUAUAUCUGAAAACACAGAACCGCAAAUGUAAGACAUAUUUCCUAAUUUGUAAAAAGUUAAAGCAGAUUACAAUGAUAACAUCUGUAAAACAAUAAAAAUUUAGUAAAAACAAUAUAAAGAAAAAAACUAAAUAUUUAAAAGUGAUAAGAAAAAAGUUAUUUCAAAGGAUAUCAGCUGAGGGGCACUAUAAAAAUAAAAUUUUCAAUUUUAUUGUAGAGCCUCCUAGCAGCUAGAGCUGCAAGGGAAACAACACAAGGAGAAGUAUGAUUCUCAUCGCAUAGUACAAAGUACAUAGUACAAAGAAAUAUACCAGAAAUUAGGGGAGAGAAACUUUCACCUGGACCAGAGAUUUAAAGAUUUAUAAUGGGAUUCCCCACAUAAGACACAGUAAGAAUUAAAUAUAUAGCAUGCUCAUACUUGUGCUACACAAUAUAUAUCUGAUAAAAAUCUGUGUGUUCUUCAUAUAUCUACGUUUGUUUUCGGUUUCUCUAUGUUGACCCUUGGUGAGAGUUGAGGACAUAAUUUUAAAGUGAAUUUCUGAAAAUACCAUCCUGCAAAAGAUGAGAGUGUUUUAAUGCAGUUUUAUUUUGCUGAAAAUAUUUAUUGCAAGGAGAGCUAAAGCUUGCAGGAUCUCAAAAAGUGAAUAAUUAUAAUACCCCUCAUUAGCCUGUACACACCUUGGUUUUCAUAUUUGCAAAACCUUAAGACCAGACAAUUCAAGAUUGAGAUCACAAGCCAGAACCCGCCAAGCAGGUAUGUCAUCUUGUUGGUGAAGACAAUUGAUAACCAAAUCUAGCAUUGAAGGUAGAGAAAGAACAAAACAGGGACAAGAUAUAGGACAGUAAGAUGCCUUAGCUAUUUGGUAAAUGUUGAGAGAUGGGAAGAAAUUUAAUAUUGAAAGUCUCAAUUAUCUACUCUAAUAUUACAAAUUAUUAAGCACUUAAUAAACAUAAUUUGAUGAUGAAAUAAUUCUCUGUGAAAAAGGGUAUACACAUAGAUAAACAAAUAGAUAAUAGAUGAUGGAUAGAUAGAAGAUAGAUGUGUGUAUGUAUAUAUAUGUAUAUAUGUAUGUAUGUGUGUAAAUAUAUUAUAUAAUCUGUUAUAUAUGAUAAUCAUAUAAUCUAUAACUUAUAGAUUAUAAAAUCAUAAGUCUAUAUUUUAUUAAAAUAUUAAAUCUGUUUUAUUAUAUUAAAGCUAUAUUUUAUUAUACAUUUUAAAUAUAAAAUCUAUAACAUUUUAUAGAUUAUGAACAUAUAAUCUAUAAUCUCCCUAUUCUGUCUACUUCAUAAAGUGAUAACCAUCUGAUAAAUCAUACAUAAAAGUGCUUUGUAAAAUAUAAAGUGUUAUGCUAUACACCUUUAUUUGUCUUAAGAGUAGUAAAAGAAGUGGUACUAAUAAUUUAGGAAUGGCUAACUCCCACAUAAUGAAUCGUUAGCUUAAAGACUGUAGGGAAAAUUGUGUCAUGUAAUUAUAGAGAGAACACGUUUUAGGGAGAAAGCCUACUUCAGAGAAUACUCACGCAUUCUCAGCACACAGUGCACAUCUGUUGUCAUAUGUUUUCCCAUCUGUGCCACAAACAGCUUCAUAAUAAUCAGGACAGAUAAAAUCCCCAUCUCUUUCUCCUUUUUUAAAAUCAUCACAAUUCAGCUGCAAAAGACAUGAUCAAGGAACGUCAAAAUGUAAGAAACAAAAUAGUCCUUAGAUGUAUAAAUAGAUUAACAUUUUAAGCCCACAAUAAUGUAAAUUGCUGGAGAAGAAAAACAUAUCAUGAAGGCUACAUUGAGCUAAUAAAUUUAUGGGCAAUAAAACAUGAUCCAAGAACAGAUAAAAUUAGAUUUCAAAAGAAAGAAUUUCAGUAUUACUUCAGCCACUUGCUGUCUGGGUGAAGUAGGCCACGUCACCACUCUGAAACUUGGCAUGUUGUUCGUCUGUCCAAUCCUGCCUGCCUUCUCCACAGAGUAGUAGUGAGGCCCAGUAGAUUACGGAUAUGAAAGCUCUAAGUAAACUAUAAACUACAGCAAAGUUUCUAUUAUUAUAGAUUAGAAUAGUAAUUAAGAGCAGGAUUGCUUGUUUCAUAUUUCUAAGUCUGCCACUUAAGCUAUGGGACUUGGACAAGUUAUUUAACACCUCUAUGCUUUAGUGUCCUCAUGUGCAAAAUGGUUAUAAUUUUGUCAAACUCUCAGGACUAUAUAGGGAUUUACAUAUGUUAAUUCAUGUAUAGCACUUGGAACAGUGCCUGACACAGAACCAUUUAUUGUUGUUGUUGUUGUUAUUUUCAAUGUUUUCUCUACUGACAAGCCAAGUAAACUAAACAUCUUUUAGGUACGGCAGGAGAAAGCCCAAAUCUCUAUUCUAAUAAUGUGACAUACACUUAGGAACAAACCUGAUGGUAAAGAAAAACAAAUGUACAAAGUAAUAACUGAAGACUAGUGUUCAAGUCUCAGACCUGCCACCCACUCACUUCACCUCUUUGCACCUCACUUUCCUCAUCAGAAAAAUGGAAAUUCACACCCUACCUACAUUCCAGAUUUGCAAUAAGGAUCAAGUGAAUUCUUAUGAAACAUUAUUUGGCAACUUAUUAUUGUGACAUAACCUAGCUAAAAAAGAUAUAGAGUUAACUUGACUUUAACUUUUACCUAAAACCAAAUAAUAAAACUGGAUAAUUUUUCUUUAGAAUAUCACAUUGCAAAAUACAACUUCAUGUUAUCAUUGUCAAAAUAAAGACAUUUUAAUGAUAAAUAUGAAACACUUAGAAUGUAGACCUAUGAUGUAUCAGUAUGUCACAUAAUAUAAAGAAUAAAAGUAGGAUACAGAAGAUCAGGUUGAGAAACUCUUAUCUAGAAGGAAAAGAACUGAAAAUAGAAAAGAAAAGCUAAAGAACAUACUCCACUAUUCAUAUGUUUAGAAAGAAGUUAAAAAUACAUUGAAAAUAAGAUAAGCAGUGGCCAUAUAAGUUAUUUCAUUCAUUCAUUUGUUCAUUUAUUCCACAAAAUUUAUUACAUAUUAACUACAUUUUAGCACUCUUCUGGACUGUGAAGCUGCCACAGAAAAUAUAAAAUAAAAAAGAGAGAGAGAGAAAAAAAUGGAAUACAUAUUCUAAGGAGCUUACAUUCUGAUAGAAAGAGACAGAUAUGCACAACAACUAUAAAUUAUAGUAAGUGCUCUCACAAAUAAACAGAAAAAUACAAUAGUGACCAGAAUGGGGACUAUUUUAGAUAUAGUGGCAAAAACAUUUGAGGGAAGAACAUUCUGGGCAUAGAGAACGGCAAUUGCAAAGGAUUUGUGGUGGAAACUAGACUGUCCUUUUUAAGGAAUGGACAGAAAGAAGGGAAAUGUGACCGAAGCAUAAAGAAAAAGCAGGAUGGCUCUUGGUUUUCUCUCAAAAAUCAUUCCUGAAGAUACUACAGAAGCAUAGGGAAAUUACAGAUCAAAGUAAUUAACUCAAAACAAUCACUACUAUCCCCCUUCCCCAGAAAAUCAACAGCAACGUACUAACUAGGUCACAGGUGUAGAGAGGGGAAUGACAGAGCAAGUCAAAAGGCCAGCUGGGGGAUGAUGAAAACAGGCGCAAGGAUAUAUGACUCCAUCUCCUUCCCCUCCAAACCCCUAGGUGGUGGAUCACAACCUACAGAAAACACCUCUUCCUAAUGUUGACAAUGCCUGAGACCUUACAGAUAGAUUCCUGACCUGGUGAAGUGGCAGCAAGCUGGAGUGGAAAAGAGGGGAUUCAGAACCUCCAGCACUGGGUCUUAUCUCUUUUUCUAUCCUUAUACUCACCAGAAGGGCUACAGACUGAAGCUUGACAUUGAACACUACCUAACUGAAUUUAGCAGAAAAAAUAAAUACAGCCAUUAUGGAAUAUUACAAUAAGAAUAUCUGUAUAUCUGACAAGUAAAAAAUAGAAUAUACUAAACAACAUGUAUUAAUUGAAGUAGAAAUAUUGGAAUGGGUAGAAAAAUAUUUUAUCAAGUCUAAUUAUGUUAUGGAGAGAUAAGAGAAGAUAUCUGCAUAAACAAAUGUAAAACAAUAACAAGAAAGAAGUUAUAAAGGAAGAACAAAGUGGAAAUUUUGUAUAUGGAAAAUAUUCAAAUGAUAAUAAAUCUAGCAAUAUAAAGAAUAAAGAUGGGAUAGGUACAAAUAAAUAAUGAACUUGUGAACCAGAUGAUCAGAUCAAGGAAUUCUCCUAGAAGGCAAUGGAAAUAAGAAACAAUUUUUCUAAAAAAGGAAAAGCUAAAGAACAUUUAAAAUAGAAUUAGAAGUCUCCAAAAGAAGGAAAUAAAUAUAGAAAGAAAUAUCUGAAGAAAGGAACAAUUUCUAUAAUUAACAAAAAAAGAAUAAAAGAGAAAAGCAAUAAGAAUUUUAAGCUAAAAUCAAGUUAAUAACAAAAUUAUAUUUACAGAAAAUAUAUGGAGAGUGGAUUAACAUACAUUUGGAGAGAAGACAAAGAAAUUGACAAUAGACACAGAUAUUAGCAAUAGAAUAAAUAAUCAAAAGUAUGGCUAUUUGUUUAGGGAUAGUCAUAAUAAGAACAAAAAUAAAUCACCACCCAAAAAAAGCUAGAAAGAAGAAACUACUAAAUAUAGUAACCGAAAAUAUUUUAAAAAUGAAAGAACCAAGUCUCACUAUAACAGAAAUAACAAUAAAUAUAAAUGUGCUAAACCUACAAAUUAAGAGACAAUUGGUAAUUUGAUGUUUAAAAAAGAACCCAUGUAUUGAGAAAAAUUAAAAUGAAAAGGCAUGCAAAUAUCAAACCAGUAAGAUAAUAAAAAUAUACAAGACAAAAAUGAAGAGGAAGAGAGCAUAUGCAGCAAUAUUAACACUUAAAAAUUAGAAUUGAGUCCAAAAAUGUAUCAUAAGUGACAAAGAAGGACAAUAUAUGAAGUAAAAAAUGACAAGAACAAGAACAAGAAAGUAUAACAAUCAUGAGCAUAUAUUCACCUAAUAAUAUAGACUUUAAAUAUGUCAAACAAUAACAAACAGAAUGUAAUAGACUUAAAUAAAUCAAUAACUGGAGUUAGAGAUUUAAGCAAACACUUCUCAGAAAUUUAUAUAUUAAGUAAAAAAAAAAGAAUAUUAAGCCAUUAGAUUUUUAUAGACAACUACAACCAAGAAACAGAAAAUAAACAUUUUUUAAGAAUAUAUAGGCCGGGCGCGGUGGCUCACGCCUGUAAUCCCAGCACUUUGGGAGGCCGAGGCGGGC